UCAACCAUCAAGCCAAGCUUGUCGUUGGACCCUUUGUCGCCUAGCGACAGGUCCGAAAGAUAAUGAACGGUGUCAUGGCGACCCUAUAUGCAACGAGCUUGUAAUUAGCACGCAUUUGGUGGUCGUCUGGCCCGAUCGUCUCCUUAUAUUUUUCUCUA
RNAcentral lists this unclassified non-coding RNA (158 nucleotides) under uncultured Herpotrichiellaceae. RNAcentral describes it as "sequence contains ITS2". The record is from RNAcentral. Lineage: Eukaryota; Fungi; Ascomycota; Eurotiomycetes; Chaetothyriales; Herpotrichiellaceae.